This 429-nucleotide ribosomal RNA is filed under the name uncultured Stenotrophomonas sp. RNAcentral describes it as "bacterial SSU rRNA". It matches the Rfam family "Bacterial small subunit ribosomal RNA", at positions 355 to 776 of the family's 1533-position model. The record is from RNAcentral. Lineage: Bacteria; Pseudomonadati; Pseudomonadota; Gammaproteobacteria; Lysobacterales; Lysobacteraceae.
UGGGGAAUAUUGGACAAUGGGCGCAAGCCUGAUCCAGCCAUACCGCGUGGGUGAAGAAGGCCUUCGGGUUGUAAAGCCCUUUUGUUGGGAAAGAAAUCCAGCCGGCUAAUACCUGGUUGGGAUGACGGUACCCAAAGAAUAAGCACCGGCUAACUUCGUGCCAGCAGCCGCGGUAAUACGAAGGGUGCAAGCGUUACUCGGAAUUACUGGGCGUAAAGCGUGCGUAGGUGGUCGUUUAAGUCCGUUGUGAAAGCCCUGGGCUCAACCUGGGAACUGCAGUGGAUACUGGGCGACUAGAAUGUGGUAGAGGGUAGCGGAAUUCCUGGUGUAGCAGUGAAAUGCGUAGAGAUCAGGAGGAACAUCCAUGGCGAAGGCAGCUACCUGGACCAACAUUGACACUGAGGCACGAAAGCGUGGGGAGCAAACAGG